CGUACCAGUGGCAGCAUUUCCACGCGAUUUGGUUGAAAAUGCACCUACCUGGUAUGCA
This 58-nucleotide microRNA precursor is filed under the name Heligmosomoides polygyrus. RNAcentral's name for it is "microRNA hpo-mir-277 precursor". Its record names the gene hpo-mir-277. The record is from miRBase by way of RNAcentral. Lineage: Eukaryota; Metazoa; Nematoda; Chromadorea; Rhabditida; Heligmosomidae.